CAAAAAAAAACUAAUUCUUCAUCUCUUCAAUUCCAAUUUGCAGGAUUGUGAUCUGCAGGUUGAUUUAAGCUGAGUAUGCAGCUUAAUUCUCAACAGGAUCUCUCCCUCUCUCUGGUUUUCACCAUAUCCUCUCAACCACCUCUUCCUUCACCUUAUUUUCUCACGAUUUCAUGUGUUCAUGGAAAAGAUUUCAAUCUCUCUCUCUCUCUCUCUCUCUCUCUCUCUCUCUCUCUCUCUCUCUCUCAAGCCCAGCGACGCGGAUGUCUCAAAGGAGAUCCAGCACAUGGUGAGGUUCAUUCGCCAAGAAGCCGACGAAAAGGCCAACGAGAUCUCCGUAUCGGCUGAAGAAGCCCAUACAGGAUUGAGAACAAAAUUGGAUAAAGAGCACUUGGAUUUGGAGGUUUUGAGUUAUAUGAAAGCAACCUGGAUGAGGAGGUUGAAGUAUUGGGGGGAAGUAAUCGAACGGAGAGAGUGUGCAGCAGAGGGGAACAACGAACUGGAUAUAGGUGGGAGGGAAGGCACGGUGUAGGGGGACUGCGAACUGAAUAAAGGUUGAAGGUAGACUGGCUGUUAUUUAUUUAUUAAUUUUGAAGGGUAAAAUUGAAACUCAAUGUCUAGCUUGAAAAACAAUUUAAAUUUUCUUUUUAAAAGUACAUGUGGCAAAUUCUAUGUGGAAGUAUCACCAGCUGACGUAGUGA
Molecule: long non-coding RNA, 698 nt
Organism: Prunus dulcis (almond)
Lineage: Eukaryota; Viridiplantae; Streptophyta; Magnoliopsida; Rosales; Rosaceae
Exons: 2
Source: RefSeq, a predicted model, not a curated record